CUAUUAUCUAGGUACUCGGACAUCACUAAAAACAGAGUUUCUCCCCUUCGGCAGGCGCGAACGAGCGGACCCGUCGUGUCUCCACGGGCCUGCCAAGGCAACAUAGGUAGGAGUAUUCAAGGGUGGGAGAUCUACCCGCGAGGGCAUGAGCUCGUUAAUGAUCCUUCCGCAGGUUCACCUACGGAAACCUUGUUACGACUUUUACUUCCUCUAAAUGACCAAGA
This 224-nucleotide unclassified non-coding RNA is filed under the name uncultured fungus. RNAcentral's name for it is "sequence contains 18S rRNA gene, ITS1, 5.8S rRNA gene, ITS2". The record is from RNAcentral. Lineage: Eukaryota; Fungi.